GAUUAACGCUGGCGGCGUGCCUAACACAUGCAAGUCGAACGAGGUAGCAAUACCUAGUGGCAGACGGGUGAGUAACGCGUGGUCAACCUACCGUUGAGUGGGGGGAUAACUAGACCGAAAGGUUAGCUAAUACCGCAUACGUCUCCGGAGGGGCAUCCCUUGGCGAAUAAAAGGAGCAAUCCGCUCGAUGGACGGGACCGCGUCCCAUUAGCUAGAUGGGUGGGGUAACGGCCUACCAUGGCACCGANGGGUAGCUGGUUUGAGAGAGCGACCAGCCACACUGGGACU
This 288-nucleotide ribosomal RNA is filed under the name uncultured bacterium. RNAcentral describes it as "partial 16S ribosomal RNA". It matches the Rfam family "Bacterial small subunit ribosomal RNA", at positions 28 to 320 of the family's 1533-position model. The record is from RNAcentral.